AUGGGCUUUCCGAGACUAUUCGA
RNAcentral lists this microRNA (23 nucleotides) under Pristionchus pacificus. RNAcentral's name for it is "ppc-miR-8317a-5p". The record is from miRBase by way of RNAcentral. Lineage: Eukaryota; Metazoa; Nematoda; Chromadorea; Rhabditida; Neodiplogasteridae.